This 633-nucleotide ribosomal RNA is filed under the name fungal endophyte. RNAcentral describes it as "eukaryotic LSU rRNA". The stretch from base 177 to 330 matches the Rfam family "5.8S ribosomal RNA". The record is from RNAcentral. Lineage: Eukaryota; Fungi.
UUGCUGGAACGCGCCCCAGGCGCACCCAGAAACCCUUUGUGAACUUAUACCUUUUGUUGCCUCGGCGCAUGCUGGUCUCUAGUAGGCCCCUCACCCCGGUGAGGAGACGGCACGCCGGCGGCCAAAACAACUCUGUUUUUACACUGAAACUCUGAGAAAAAACACAAAUGAAUCAAAACUUUCAACAACGGAUCUCUUGGUUCUGGCAUCGAUGAAGAACGCAGCGAAAUGCGAUAAGUAAUGUGAAUUGCAGAAUUCAGUGAAUCAUCGAAUCUUUGAACGCACAUUGCGCCCUCUGGUAUUCCGGAGGGCAUGCCUGUUCGAGCGUCAUUUCAACCCUCAAGCAUUGCUUGGUGUUGGGGCACUGCUUUUAACGAAGCAGGCCCUGAAAUCUAGUGGCGAGCUCGCCAGGACCCCGAGCGCAGUAGUUAAACCCUCGCUCUGGAAGGCCCUGGCGGUGCCCUGCCGUUAAACCCCCAACUUUUGAAAAUUUGACCUCGGAUCAGGUAGGAAUACCCGCUGAACUUAAGCAUAUCAAUAAGCGGAGGAAAAGAAACCAACAGGGAUUGCCCUAGUAACGGCGAGUGAAGCGGCAACAGCUCAAAUUUGAAAUCUGGCCUCGGCCCGAGUUGU